RNAcentral lists this ribosomal RNA (723 nucleotides) under uncultured archaeon. RNAcentral's name for it is "bacterial SSU rRNA". It matches the Rfam family "Archaeal small subunit ribosomal RNA", at positions 134 to 859 of the family's 1478-position model. The record is from RNAcentral.
GGGAAACUGAGAAUAAUACUCCAUAGAUCCAGGAUGCUGGAAUGCACCUAGAUUGAAAGUUCCGGCGCCUAAGGAUGAGUCUGCGGACUAUCAGGUAGUAGUCAGGGUAAAGACCUGACUAGCCUACGACGGAUACGGGUUGUGAGAGCAAUAGCCCGGAGACGAUAUCUGAGACACGAUAUCGGGCCCUACGGGGCGCAGCAGGCGCGAAAUCUUCACAAUGUGCGAAAGCACGAUGAGGGGAUCCCAAGUGUUGGUUCGUAAGAAUCAUCUGUUUCUUUGUCUAAAAAACAGAGAGAGUAAGAGCUGGGUAAGACGGGUGCCAGCCGCCGCGGUAAUACCUGCAGCUCAAGUGGUGGCCGCUAUUAUUGGGCCUAAAACGUCCGUAGCCGGUUUAGUAAAUGCUUGGGUAAAUUGUGUAGCUCAACUAUACGAAUACCGAGUAGACUGCUGAACUUGGGACCGGGAGAGGCUAGAGGUACUCCUAGGGUAGAGGUGAAAUUCUGUAAUCCUAGGGGGACCACCAGUGGCGAAGGCGUCUAGCUAGAACGGGUCUGACGGUGAGGGACGAAGCCCUGGGGCGCAAACCGGAUUAGAUACCCGGGUAGUCCAGGGUGUAAACGCUGCUCGCUUGAUGUUAGUUGGGCUCCGAGCCCAACUAGUGUCGGAGAGAAGUUGUUAAGCGAGCUGCCUGGGAAGUACGGUCGCAAGGCUGAAACUUAA